UACGAAGGGUGCAAGCGUUACUCGGAAUUACUGGGCGUAAAGCGUGCGUAGGUGGUUCGUUAAGUCUGUCGUGAAAGCCCCGGGCUCAACCUGGGAAUGGCGAUGGAUACUGGCGGGCUAGAGUGCGGUAGAGGAGAGUGGAAUUCCCGGUGUAGCAGUGAAACGCGUAGAGAUCGGGAGGAACAUCAGUUGCGAAGGCGGCUCUCUGGACCAGCACUGACACUGAGGCACGAAAGCGUGGGGAGCAAACAGG
This 253-nucleotide ribosomal RNA is filed under the name uncultured bacterium. Its description in RNAcentral is "partial 16S ribosomal RNA". It matches the Rfam family "Bacterial small subunit ribosomal RNA", at positions 524 to 776 of the family's 1533-position model. The record is from RNAcentral.